CGACUCUCGGCAACGGAUAUCUCGGCUCUCGCAUCGAUGAAGAACGUAGCGAAAUGCGAUACUUGGUGUGAAUUGCAGAAUCCCGUGAACCAUCGAGUCUUUGAACGCAAGUUGCGCCCGAAGCCUUCCGGCCGAGGGCACGCCUGCCUGGGCGUCACGCAUCGCGUCGCCCCCACCUC
RNAcentral lists this ribosomal RNA (179 nucleotides) under Ruellia tuberosa. RNAcentral describes it as "5.8S ribosomal RNA". The stretch from base 2 to 157 matches the Rfam family "5.8S ribosomal RNA". From Rfam's summary of the family: 5.8S ribosomal RNA (5.8S rRNA) is a component of the large subunit of the eukaryotic ribosome. It is transcribed by RNA polymerase I as part of the 45S precursor that also contains 18S and 28S rRNA. The record is from RNAcentral. Lineage: Eukaryota; Viridiplantae; Streptophyta; Magnoliopsida; Lamiales; Acanthaceae.